RNAcentral lists this ribosomal RNA (740 nucleotides) under uncultured bacterium. Its description in RNAcentral is "bacterial SSU rRNA". It matches the Rfam family "Bacterial small subunit ribosomal RNA", at positions 768 to 1504 of the family's 1533-position model. The record is from RNAcentral.
AUUAACAGGAUUAGAUACCCUGGUAGUCCAUGCCGUAAACGUUGGGCACUAGGUGUGGGGGGCAUUCCACGUUCUCCGCGCCGUAGCUAACGCAUUAAGUGCCCCGCCUGGGGAGUACGGUCGCAAGGCUAAAACUCAAAGGAAUUGACGGGGGCCCGCACAAGCGGCGGAGCAUGCGGAUUAAUUCGAUGCAACGCGAAGAACCUUACCAAGGCUUGACAUACACCAGACCGUCCUGGAAACAGGUCCUCUUCUUUGAAGCUGGUGUACAGGUGGUGCAUGGUUGUCGUCAGCUCGUGUCGUGAGAUGUUGGGUUAAGUCCCGCAACGAGCGCAACCCUCGUUCUAUGUUGCCAGCACGUGAUGGUGGGAACUCAUAGGAGACUGCCGGGGUCAACUCGGAGGAAGGUGGGGAUGACGUCAAAUCAUCAUGCCCUUUAUGUCUUGGGCUUCACGCAUGCUACAAUGGCUGGUAUAGAGAGAGGCGAACCCGUGAGGGCAAGCGAAUCCCUUAAAGCCAGUCUCAGUUCGGAUCGUAGUCUGCAAUUCGACUACGUGAAGUCGGAGUCGCUAGUAAUCGCAGAUCAGCAACGCUGCGGUGAAUACGUUCCCGGGCCUUGUACACACCGCCCGUCAAGUCACGAAAGUCGGUAACACCCGAAGCCGGUGGCCUAACCGUAAGGAGGGGGCCGUCUAAGGUGGGACUGGUGAUUGGGACUAAGUCGUAACAAGGUAGCCAAU